This 498-nucleotide ribosomal RNA is filed under the name uncultured Gemmatimonas sp. Its description in RNAcentral is "bacterial SSU rRNA". It matches the Rfam family "Bacterial small subunit ribosomal RNA", at positions 8 to 507 of the family's 1533-position model. Lineage: Bacteria; Pseudomonadati; Gemmatimonadota; Gemmatimonadia; Gemmatimonadales; Gemmatimonadaceae. The record is from RNAcentral.
AGAGUUUGAUCCUGGCUCAGGACGAAUGCUGGCGGCGUGCUUAACACAUGCAAGGUCGACGGGGUCCGGGGCAACCUGGAUAACCGGCGAACGGGUGCGUAACACGUGAACAACCUGCCUUCGGUGUGGGGGAUACGCCGGGCUAACGCCCCGGGGUAAUACCGCAUACGUUCUUUGAGAGGAGUCUCUCGAAGAGGAAAGCUCCGGCGCACGGGGAGGGGUUCGCGGCCUAUCAGCUUGUUGGCGGGGUAACGGCCCACCAAGGCGACGACGGGUAGCUGGUCUGAGAGGAUGGCCAGCCACAUUGGGACUGAGAGAUGGCCCAGACUCCUACGGGAGGCAGCAGUGGGGAAUCUUGCGCAAUGGUCUAACGACUGACGCAGCGACGCCGCGUGUGGGAGGACGCCUUUCGGGGUGUAAACCACUGUUGCCCGGGACGAACUGCGCGAUUCAUCGCGCGUGACGGUACCGGGUGAGGAAGCACCGGCUAACUCCGUG